UCUAAGACGAGCGGGAGAACCCUUGUUAAGGAACUCGGCAAAAUGACCCCGUAACUUCGGGAGAAGGGGAGCCAUCGAGAGAUGGCCGCAGUGAAGAGGCCCAAGCGACUGUUUAUCAAAAACACAGGUUUCUGCUAAGGCGAAAGCCAAGGUAUAGGAGCUGACUCCUGCCCAGUGCCGGAAGGUCAAGGGGACUUGUUAGCAGCAAUGCGAAGCAACGAACUUAAGCCCCGGUGAACGGCGGCCGUAACUAUAACGGUCCUAAGGUAGCGAAAUUCCUUGUCGGGUAAGUUCCGACCCGCACGAAUGGCGUAACGAUCUGGGCACUGUCUCAACAGCCCGCCCGGCGAAAUUGUAGUAUACGUGAAGAUGCGUAUUAACCCGCGACUGGACGGAAAGACCCCGUAGAGCUUUACUGUAACUUGAUAUUGAAUCUCGGCAACUGAUGCACAGAAUAGGUGGGAGACUGAGAAGCCAUGUUUUCGGGCGUGGCGGAGUCAACUUUGGGAUACCACUCUUCGGUUGCUGCGAUUCUAACCGGAUACCGUGAAACCGGAUUCGGAACAUUGUCAGGUGGGCAGUUUGACUGGGGCGGUCGCCUCCUAAAAUGUAACGGAGGCGCUCAAAGGUUCCCUCAGAAUGGUUGGAAAUCAUUCGACGAGUGUAAAGGUAUAAGGGAGCUUGACUGUGAGACAGACAUGUCGAACAGGUGCGAAAGCAGGACUUAGUGAUCAGGUGGUAUGAGAAUGGAAUUGCCAUCGCUUAACGGAUAAAAGUUACCUCGGGGAUAACAGGCUUAUCUCCCCCAAGAGUUCACAUCGACGGGGAGGUUUGGCACCUCGAUGUCGGCUCGUCACAUCCUGGGGCUGAAGCAGGUCCCAAGGGUUCGGCUGUUCGCCGAUUAAAGUGGCACGCGAGCUGGGUUCAAAACGUCGUGAGACAGUUUGGUCCCUAUCCAUCGUGGGCGUAGGAUAUUUGAGAGGGUUUGUCCUUAGUACGAGAGGACCGGGAUGAACGCACCUACCGUGCAUCUGUUGUCGCGCCAGCGGCAUGGCAGGGUAGCGGUGUGCGGAUGAGAUAAACGCUGAAAGCAUCUAAGCGUGAAACUCGCCUCAAGAUAAGAUAUCCCAUA
Molecule: ribosomal RNA, 1132 nt
Filed under: human gut metagenome
Description: bacterial LSU rRNA
Rfam family: Bacterial large subunit ribosomal RNA
Source: RNAcentral